This 253-nucleotide ribosomal RNA is filed under the name uncultured bacterium. RNAcentral describes it as "partial 16S ribosomal RNA". It matches the Rfam family "Bacterial small subunit ribosomal RNA", at positions 524 to 776 of the family's 1533-position model. The record is from RNAcentral.
UACGUAGGGGGCGAGCGUUGUCCGGAAUCAUUGAGCGUAAAGCGCGUGUAGGCGGCUCGGUAAGUCCGGUGUGAAAACUUGGGGCUCAACCCCAAGCCUGCACUGGAUGCUGUCGAGCUCGAGUCCGGGAGGGGAGAGCGGAAUUCCUAGUGUAGCGGUGAAAUGCGCAGAUAUUAGGAAGAACACCGGUGGCGAAGGCGGCUCUCCGGAACGGUACUGACGCUGAGACGCGAAAGCGUGGGGAGCGAACAGG